RNAcentral lists this long non-coding RNA (236 nucleotides) under Mytilus galloprovincialis (Mediterranean mussel). Lineage: Eukaryota; Metazoa; Mollusca; Bivalvia; Mytilida; Mytilidae. The record is from RNAcentral.
CGGGCUUCACAUUAUUAUAACAAGUGAUCCUACUAAAUAUGACAGCAAUCUCAGAGUAGUUGCAAUUACUGGUUCAUUCUGGCUAUUCCUACAUUUUGAAUUUUAUAGGUAAAAUAGUUCAAUUUUAUGUAGGAGUUCCCAGAAUUUUUGUGUAAACAAUGGGAUUAUGUAGGAUUAUGUUGUAACAACAAUAAUGAAUCAAAGGUAAAUCCAGGUAAUUCUUGUAGAAAAUAAAA